RNAcentral lists this ribosomal RNA (118 nucleotides) under Carassius auratus (goldfish). Lineage: Eukaryota; Metazoa; Chordata; Actinopteri; Cypriniformes; Cyprinidae. The record is from RNAcentral.
GCUUAUGGCCAUACCAGCCUGGCUAUGCCCGAUCUUGUCUGAUCUCGUAAGCUAAGCAGGUUUGGGCCUGGUUAGUGCCUGGAUGGGAGACCGCCUGGAAUACCAGGUACUGUAAGCU